This 1192-nucleotide ribosomal RNA is filed under the name Nematoda environmental sample. RNAcentral describes it as "SSU rRNA". It matches the Rfam family "Eukaryotic small subunit ribosomal RNA", at positions 93 to 1308 of the family's 1831-position model. The record is from RNAcentral. Lineage: Eukaryota; Metazoa; Nematoda.
ACGGCUCAUUACAAUGGCCAUUAUUUACUUGAUCUUGAUUGUCUAAAUGGAUAACUGUGGAAAAGCUAGAGCUAAUACAUGCACYAAAGCUUUGUCCUUUCGGAAAAGCGCAUUUAUUAGAACAAAACCACGCGGCUUCGGCUGCUUCUUGUUGACUCAGAAUAACUWAGCUGACCGCAUGGCCUUGUGCCGGCGGCGUGUCUUUCAAGCGUCCACUUUAUCAACUUGACGGGAGCAUAAUCGACUCCCGUGGUGGUGACGGAUAACGGAGGAUCAGGGUUCGACUCCGGAGAAGGGGCCUGAGAAAUGGCCACUACGUCUAAGGAUGGCAGCAGGCGCGCAAAUUACCCACUCUCGGCUCGAGGAGGUAGUGACGAGAAAUAACGAGACUGUUCUCUUUGAGGCCGGUCAUCGGAAUGGGUACAAUUUAAACCCUUUAACGAGUAUCAAGCAGAGGGCAAGUCUGGUGCCAGCAGCCGCGGUAAUUCCAGCUCUGCAAAUACAUAGAAUUAUUGCUGCGGUUARAAAGCUCAUAGUUGGAUUCGUAUCGAUACCUUGGAACCCUUCGGGUGUCUCUGGGUGUUAUCGAUUUAUCGUAAUGUUCGGUUUUGAGUCCUUAACAGGAUUCUUAACAGGCAUUGCAAGUUUACUUUGAACAAAUCAGAGUGCUUCAAACAGGCGUUUUCGCUUGAAUGAUCGUGCAUGGAAUAAUAGAAAAUGAUUUCGGUUCAGUUUUAUUGGUUUUACGGACUGAGAUAAUGGUUAACAGAGACAAACGGGGGCAUUUGUAUGGUCCCGUGAGAGGUGAAAUUCUUGGACCGUGGCCAGACAAACUACAGCGAAAGCAUUUGCCAAGAAUGUUUUUAUUAAUCAAGAACGAAAGUCAGAGGUUCGAAGGCGAUCAGAUACCGCCCUAGUUCUGACCGUAAACGAUGCCAACUAGCGAUCCGCCGAUGGAAAUUAUAUUGCCUUGGUGGGGAGCUUCCCGGAAACGAAAGUCUUCCGGUUCCGGGGGAAGUAUGGUUGCAAAGCUGAAACUUAAAGGAAUUGACGGAAGGGCACCACCAGGAGUGGAGCCUGCGGCUUAAUUUGACUCAACACGGGGAAACUCACCCGGCCCGGACACUGUGAGGAUUGACAGAUUGAUAGCUUUUUCAUGAUUCAGUGGAUGGUGGUGCAUGGCCGUUCUUAA